UACGAAGGGGGCUAGCGUUGUUCGGAUUUACUGGGCGUAAAGCGCACGUAGGCGGUUUGUUAAGUCAGAGGUGAAAUCCCGGAGCUCAACUCCGGAACUGCCUUUGAUACUGGCAAGCUAGAGUCCGGAAGAGGUAAGUGGAACUCCUAGUGUAGAGGUGGAAUUCGUAGAUAUUAGGAAGAACACCAGUGGCGAAGGCG
This 200-nucleotide ribosomal RNA is filed under the name uncultured bacterium. RNAcentral describes it as "partial 16S ribosomal RNA". It matches the Rfam family "Bacterial small subunit ribosomal RNA", at positions 524 to 723 of the family's 1533-position model. The record is from RNAcentral.